This 862-nucleotide ribosomal RNA is filed under the name Cytobacillus oceanisediminis. Its description in RNAcentral is "bacterial SSU rRNA". It matches the Rfam family "Bacterial small subunit ribosomal RNA", at positions 73 to 919 of the family's 1533-position model. Lineage: Bacteria; Bacillati; Bacillota; Bacilli; Caryophanales; Bacillaceae. The record is from RNAcentral.
UGGGAGCUUGCUCCCGGAAGUCAGCGGCGGACGGGUGAGUAACACGUGGGCAACCUGCCUGUAAGACUGGGAUAACUUCGGGAAACCGGAGCUAAUACCGGAUAAUUCUUUCCCUCACAUGAGGGAAAGCUGAAAGAUGGUUUCGGCUAUCACUUACAGAUGGGCCCGCGGCGCAUUAGCUAGUUGGUGAGGUAACGGCUCACCAAGGCAACGAUGCGUAGCCGACCUGAGAGGGUGAUCGGCCACACUGGGACUGAGACACGGCCCAGACUCCUACGGGAGGCAGCAGUAGGGAAUCUUCCGCAAUGGACGAAAGUCUGACGGAGCAACGCCGCGUGAGUGAUGAAGGUUUUCGGAUCGUAAAACUCUGUUGUUAGGGAAGAACAAGUACCGGAGUAACUGCCGGUACCUUGACGGUACCUAACCAGAAAGCCACGGCUAACUACGUGCCAGCAGCCGCGGUAAUACGUAGGUGGCAAGCGUUGUCCGGAAUUAUUGGGCGUAAAGCGCGCGCAGGCGGUUCCUUAAGUCUGAUGUGAAAGCCCCCGGCUCAACCGGGGAGGGUCAUUGGAAACUGGGGAACUUGAGUGCAGAAGAGAAGAGUGGAAUUCCACGUGUAGCGGUGAAAUGCGUAGAGAUGUGGAGGAACACCAGUGGCGAAGGCGACUCUUUGGUCUGUAACUGACGCUGAGGCGCGAAAGCGUGGGGAGCAAACAGGAUUAGAUACCCUGGUAGUCCACGCCGUAAACGAUGAGUGCUAAGUGUUAGAGGGUUUUCGCCCUUUAGUGCUGCAGCAAACGCAUUAAGCACUCCGCCUGGUUAGUACGACCGCAAGGCUGAAACUCAAAGGAAUUGACGGGGG